Passer domesticus (house sparrow) is the source of this 6731-nucleotide long non-coding RNA. RefSeq lists it as uncharacterized. The record is from RefSeq and is a predicted model, not a curated record. The transcript has 2 exons. Lineage: Eukaryota; Metazoa; Chordata; Aves; Passeriformes; Passeridae.
AAGAUUGCUAUGAUCAUGCAUUGUACUUAGAAAAGGGAGCAGUGGAAUCUCAACCUACUGGCAGAGCAGCUCUCUAAGGCAGCUAGCACUUCUCCCAGCCUUGCACCUUCCCUGUCCUCUAAACAUGCAGGUACCCUAAUGGAAUAACCUUGGCAGGCCAACACCCCACACUUCCAUCAGCAAAGGAAGAGAGAAAAAUCUAGAGACUGUCCUAGAGGCAGAGUGUGGAGGGGCAAGUAUUCACACACCUGAAGCAGCGCUGCAGAAGGAAAGGGAAAAAAAAAAAGGAAAAGAAAAAAAAGCAGGCAUUGGAACAGCUUAUUCCUGAAUGGAUCCCGCGCCCUCUGCUGGAGUGCUGUGCUCAUCCCAGCCCAGGCAGGGAGGAGAGAACGGAAUACAGGUGUGCCAUGGCAAGGUCAGAGAUGGGAACAGGCAGGGGCCAGUUAGGAGGGAGAAAGCUCAAAGGAUAUAAUGCAAUGUAAAGGCUGAGGGGAAUGAGGGGAAAUGAGGGGGAAAUGAGGGGAAAUGGGGGGAAAAGGAAGCACUACACAAUAAGUGAUGAGGGGAGGAACUUGCUCCCUACAGGGUACCCAGAGGGGGAUGGACAGACAAAGGGAUUUGGGGCUGUCUCAGCUCACUUCACAGCAAAGACCAGACCCCAAAAUUUGGACACUACAGCAGAGGGGAAUUUGGAAUGUCAGGUUUACUAAAACAUCAUCAGAAAUCUCAGGCAUGCAUGAGAUGUUUUCUGCAAGCACAGGUGAAAUCAGCGAUAUAGAUGAAGGGCACUGCCUGCACAACCUCUAGGGAGGGCUCCACCUCCACCUGUGCUGCUCAACUGACUGCAGCCAAUUUCCCAGGAAGUUCCAUUAUGUCCUUUGAUGUCCCAACAACAAUACUGUGCAGCAGACGUAAGACAAGCUAUCCUUGCAAACUUCUCCAGGUCUCUGGCUUCAGGGAUACUCAGAGGAGGGGCAGAUCAGUAGAUGCUGCAAUGUCCACUUCUGAGAAUGCACAGGUAUCACUGAGACUCAGCCCUUUACAGCACAGUGUAUUUGUACCUCUGACACCUGGGGCUGCCCCCAGUCUGGAACUGCAGCUUCGUCAGGGAUGUGGGUGGAUGAAAAGCCCUGGGAGCUUUUUUCCCGCCCUCUAUGAUACCUAGGUUUGAUUCCUAUGUGGACAUUUAAAGGAAUGGCAGGACUGUGUGGGGUGUGCAGAGCAAUCAGAAGUCACAAAGUGAGCAGCUGCAGGAGGCAAACAGCACCUGGUUGAUUUGGAAGGAGCUAUAGCUACACAUGGCUCUAUAACAAGUUUAGGAUAGGAAGUGACUUCCUGAAACACAGUAUCAAAACCUACUGGAAAGGGUGAUUUUUUCCAGUAAUAAACAAGGAAAUUAUUCCUCUAUGAGUAUGCAAAUUGCUACUCAGCAAAUGGCCUGGGCUAUAGGGAGCUGUUAAUGUGCACAAAAUCAAUACCCAGACAGUUUGUCUGCUCCACUCAAAGGCAAACACAGCAGCCACACUGGCUUGGAUUUGUCUGGGGUAUGGAAUAUAAUUUCCCCCUUUGGAAAUAGAGAGUGCUGUGCAGACCUGAUGGUUUCACCAAGAACCUCAACACUUCACACAGAUUUGACCAGCUUACAAAGAGAAAUAGACACAGGGUUGUCACAUUUCUCUGGUGAGAACAUGACCUCUUCCUUAUUCAUGAGCUUCAGACUCUCACUCUUUGUGACUACUUGCUCCUUUUCCAGGAGUGGAUGUCUGCUGCCUGCAAUAAAUUUGAAAAUUAGGGAUGAACUCUACACAGUGCAGCCAAUGUCCAUUGAGUUAUGGUUCAAGACUCUUUAAGGGUCUGUGGACAAGUUUUAAGGAGUCCAUAAAGGUCACAAAGGAAAAAUAAUGGGUUGUCAGCAAGCUGGUAUUUACUGUACUGCUAUUCUCAUCCUCAGCAACAAUAUGUAGAGUAUCUGUAAAUAAAAGAUUGGGAAGCAGUUAUUUUACUCCAUCAGAGCUUGGGAAAAGUCAGAUCUAGAUCUCUCCAAAGGGUCAAAGCUAUAUAACACCAGUUAAUACCAUUAAACUGUAGAAGUUGAACUGAUUUUGAUCUAGACAUAAAUGUCCUGUUUCUGCCAAACUUCUGUAUUAAUACUAAAGUCUGAAGAAUGACCACAAGCAGAUCACCUAAACCUAGAAGCUCAUUGUUUCCCAUUUUUAACCAUUCCAAGAUCUUCUCUUUUGAUCCCAUGACUGGACAUUUCACUCUAAAACCUUCUGACCUAAACAAGGAUACUCACCAUUACCACUGUGCUUGUUUAUCUCUUCAAAGAAAUCAGUGUCCUAAAGCAAAACCUUCCAUAACAGAAAUUAUGGUGACUUUUAUGAAGGACAUUUUUUGUAUUUAUCAGUUAUUCAUUGAUUCAAUUCCUUGUUACACAAUUAAUUGUCCUCCUACAGAAGUUAAAUUUACCAGACUGCAAUACCUUAGGUACACCUAAGGAAAAUGUUUUAAAGAAAGUCACCACCACCUUUGUUAUUCUGCAGACUGCAGGCAACAAUGGAGGAUUAAGUGAAUGAAGUGUUGUACGUAAUUCCACAAUUUCCCUUGAAAGCCAUGAGUGAAUAUCACUCAGUUCUGAUGAUCUGUCAGCAUUCAAUCUGUCUGCAACACAGUUUCUGCCUCAGUUAUUCAACAGAAGAGAUGCUACUCUGUCCUUGAUUUCAUUUCUUCUAAUUCAAUGACUCCCCAAAUUGUAUUAUCUACUGGAAUCGCUAAUUCACUUCUAGGAAAAUCAUUUUAACAGACCAAUUAUGACAGCAAAUUCAAAUGCUGUACUCAAAAUUAAUAAAUUUAUACUCCUUGCUGCUCCUUCUUCCUGACACUUCCUUUAUACCUGUAUUGCCACAAAUGCAGUUUAAUACUCUGUGGGCCCUUAUGACAGAUGCAGCUCAACUGGCCAGCCUUGCACAGCUUAUGCCUUCAUAAUUAACCCUCUAAAAACCUUCUCCCAAACUUACCCUAAGCUGGAAUGGUUUAAAAAACCCUCUUUAUCUUAUCUUGCAGUAAGACAAACUGAAGAGGGUGCCACAAAAUUUAACACCAUGCAAGGGACUGAAAAAAUGUAGGACGACAGAUUCCUGGGGCUCACAGACACUGCUCUGGAGUGGCCUCACCUUUUGCUGGGGCUCCCUAAAUCCCAGAUUUCAGAAGGAAGCCAUGAAAUGAGUAUUUACAAGAGUGGAGAUCAGGGCUGUGCUUGCAGCCUGACCAGAAAUGCCUUUAUCUCCAACACCCAUUUACAGUUCUGACAAAUGAUCCCCUGCAGCAGCCUGAGGCAGGUGAGAUGACCACUCCUCCCUUCAGAUCCUUGCUACCUGCUAGAUAAAAAAGACAAUUUCAUAGGAAAAAAAAAUUAAUAGAAGCAUUUUAUGUUUUACUUAAUAAAUACAAAAGGGGGAGAGGUGGUGGUGAUAGGGAGAUAAAGGGGUUUGCAUCCUUGUAACCCAAAUCCGAUUAAUUUUUUGGGGUGAAAAGAUGAUUUAUGUGAUAUUGCCUGGACAUUAUACAUCUACCUGUAGUUGUGAGCAAUCUCAAUUCUACACACGUCACUGCAGGUUUGGAGCACUGCUGGUGCAGGCUGGCAGUGAUGGGGUCUGUAAUGAUGGGAUCCAAAACACAGCUCCUUGGCAGCAUUUGUGCCACUCACUUUAGUGCAGUGGGGUUUGGGACAGCAACUUCCCUCCAGAGGGGAGAGAAGAAUCAUCUGGGCUGGAUGAAGAAGGGAAAGAGAUGAAGUAAGCAAGUGUAGUUUAAAAUGUGGCAGCUGAGAGAACAAAAGACUUUGUAAAACAAGCAAAAUAUGUGAAUUAACUCAAAUGUGCAAAUGUGUCCAAAGCAGUGAGGGCUUUGGGUGAGGGAGCAGACAAGCACAUGUAUUUGAUGCUGCCACAGUGAUGGGGGAGAAGAAAAAAGAAAACAAAACUGUGUGGGAACCAUUGCCUUUCAGCAAGACACAGACUCUUUCAUGCAGUGGGAAAACAAGGCUUUUUCCUUGACUGUUGUCUCCUUGCUCUCUUCCAGCAUGACUGUGAGGCAGGCACAUGGAUAAAUACCAUGUACUUACCUUUGUGGCUCCCAAGUCCAGAAGCAAGCAAAAGCUGAGUGAAGAGUAAUUUGGAGAUUGCCACUGAGCAUUCCCACAUGCAGUGCCCACUAUGAAGCAGGAUAGAUCUUGUGGAAGGUGGUAACACACUGCAGAGUGCCCAAGCUGACUCUGUUUAGUCUUGGUAUCCAACCAGACACAGAAUGCAGGAGAUGCAAAAGCAUCUUCACCAACUUUAUCUUUCCUUGAGCAAAGGCUGGAAUGGAGUCAGACACGUCCCUCACCAGCACUACACUGAUCUCCAGCCAGGAGAUCACUCCAACCUGAUGGCAGGCAGAGCUGUCACAGCAUGGAGGGACCAUCCCUGCAGGACCAGCAGGGGGACAUGCCAAAUUAUCUUCACAUCUUUCUCUGUAGCAGGAGUUCAGUGCAGCACUGCAGCACUCACCUCUGAGGAAGGUGAAAUUCUGCAAGGAGACGUGGACUGUCCUAAAAAAGCUGCAGACCCAUACUAACUCCACAUCAAGCAUUUAAUAUGAACACAGCAAAGUCCAAGAGGGCAACCAGCCUUUUUGACAUAAAAAACCCCACACAACACUUUAAAAAAUACUGAUUUUAUUCAUUUCUAGCCUAUUCAACAGUGGAACACACCAGCAGGAACAACCACAAAUAUCGCAAUACAAGGUUUCACCAGGUUCUCACCUGUGCAAUUCUGGAUUUGAGUCAAGCACAUAUUAUGGCACCACCACUAAUGAUGAUGAUUGCUGUUCACAGCUCACUCGAGUCCCAUCUCCCUGAUGCACUUCCAAGCCAAAUAACCUUGUUUCCCACUAUGUGUGGGAUUGUCUGCAGAGAAUUUGUGUUCUCAAAGCCUGAACACAGCAAAAAUCCUGAAGCACACACUCCAGCUAAAAAUUCCCUGUACCUCAUUUGUUCUUUAUUUGAAAGAGUUUGAGUUUUCAGUGAAACAAACAAAAAAGCCCCCACCAACAACAAUUUCUCAGAAAUAUUGGACCUGACCUGUAUAAAUCAGGUCCAGUAAGGGAGCUGGAAUUACUUAUCUCACCACAUGACCUGGCCUGCUAAUUCCAGCUGUUUUCCUUGGAAUGAUGCAUCAGAGCAAGGCUUCACACCAAAAGCAAAGCACCCCUGUCAAUAUGCCUGCUGAUGGUGUGGGCACACAGUACUGCCCAAGGUUUCUGCCCCAUGGAUUUCCCCAGUAUAUUCACACUUUUCCAAAGGUAGCCUGCACCUACGCUGACUCUGAAGACAACUGCCCUUGCAAGAAGGGUUCAUGGCAGCUCUGGUCACUCAUGGUCAGUCACACGGCCUUGACACACAUAUCAGGAUAAAGGGACUUGGAGGAUUCCCACAGCUGGUCUGCACUGAGAGAUAGAGCGGGUCCCUUGGGAUUGUAGAGUGCAUUUUGCCUCCCAAGGACUUCACGCUGACAUCCACACCCAGAACUACUCAGAAGAGCUGCACCAUGAGCAGCCUUCACCUGGCAGCUCAGGGUUUCUCUAAGCCCAGUCCUACAAGCCUGUGGGAGCCACAGGUAGUCAGGAAGCUCCUCAGAGAUCCAGACCCUCAGCCAGCAGCACAAAGAUGCAUUGAAGUCCCAGAGCUGCCAAAUCAGAGAGCUGCCUCCCAUCUCUUUUCCCUCACACACUGAUGCUGAAAAGUGCCAGGCUAAAAGUCACUCAGGGAGAUAUAGAGGGUGUUACUGAUAAAGAGUUCUAGGGAAGCUGGAUGCCCAGAUUUCCAUCAAACUACCUUCUGGAAAUCCCAGCUGUCACAUUUAACUCCACUCUUCCCCUCAGGCUUUCCCCUUCCAGAAUCAAUUCUUCCUACCCCCCUCCCACUUCCCUGUGCAGAGAGCUGGCAACACAAACAAGCUGGAUCCACACAUGGUCAUGGAAAUUUGGCUGCAUGGCUGACCUUUGCUGCUGCCAAAGGGAGGGAAUUCCAGGCCAGAGCACCCCUCUCUGCCCUUCACUUUUCAGAGCUAAUUGGGUUUUCUAUCACUUUCAGCAUGGCACAGCAUGGACUCGUGGAGCUUGAAAAGCAGCAGAGGUUUUUAUCACCAUGGUGCAACGGGAGAAGACUUCAGAGCAUUUUCUGGGAACGCCACAUACAGUUAUAUUACAAUUGCAGAAUUGUCUGGCUAUUGUGUCUCCUAAGUCACACAAUGGACUACAAACAGUGCUAUUUCAGUGAAACUCUCUACAACCACUGAAAAUAAGUCACUAACUCCAUUAGAGCAGGCAAUGGACUCACAUGUUCACAAAAAGUGACUACAGAUGCUGAAGCCAGGUGCUUUGUAGGUAACUGAGAAACACCUCUGGUUUGGGCCCAUCCGUCAGGCAGCAGAUAUUUUGCACGAACAGGAUGAUUACAGCUUGUAGAGCUUUAUGAAACAUCUACCUUUUUAUCCGAGUUAUGAAAGCACAGCUUUGAAAAGCACAGUAAUCCAAGGCCAAAAAGACAGGCAGGCAAAUGGACAGACUUUGGCCACUCAUUUGGUUUUCUUAGAGGGAGUUCUUUGCUCUUUUAAGGGCUGACCUCAUGCAUUUGCCAGAUCUGGAUGCUCCACUUGAAAAAAAGGCUCAAAGGAAUUUUCAACAGCAGA